GCGACGAGAGGCCAUUGUGGCGAGGGAGGCCUUGGGAGGUGGAGGAGUGAAGCCGCUACCGCGGGACCCAAGCGCCGAGCCGCAGGAGCAGACGAUCUUGAAAACUGCCAGGUCCUUGGGGGAAAAAACUACAUGACACUGCAACAUGAGUGACAGUAAAUGUGAUAGUCAGUUUUACAGUGUUCAAGUCGCAGAUUCCACAUUCACUGUACUAAAACGGUACCAACAAUUGAAGCCCAUAGGAUCUGGGGCUCAGGGCAUUGUUUGUGCUGCAUUUGAUACAGUCCUUGGGAUAAAUGUUGCGGUAAAGAAGCUGAGUCGUCCUUUUCAGAACCAAACUCAUGCAAAAAGAGCUUACAGGGAGCUUGUUCUUUUAAAAUGUGUCAAUCACAAAAACAUAAUUAGUUUGUUAAAUGUAUUCACACCACAGAAGUCACUGGAAGAAUUUCAAGAUGUGUAUUUGGUUAUGGAACUGAUGGAUGCUAACUUGUGCCAGGUUAUUCAUAUGGAGUUGGAUCAUGAAAGAAUGUCCUACCUUCUCUACCAGAUGUUGUGUGGUAUCAAACAUCUCCAUUCAGCUGGUAUCAUCCACAGAGAUUUGAAACCCAGCAAUAUAGUAGUAAAAUCAGAUUGUACACUCAAAAUCCUUGAUUUUGGACUGGCAAGAACAGCAUGUACUAAUUUUAUGAUGACGCCGUACGUAGUAACACGGUAUUACAGAGCACCGGAGGUUAUCCUAGGCAUGGGAUACAAAGAGAAUGUUGAUAUCUGGUCAGUUGGGUGCAUCAUGGGAGAAUUGGUGAAAGGUUGUGUGAUAUUCCAAGGCACUGAUCAUAUUGAUCAAUGGAAUAAAGUUAUUGAACAGUUAGGAACACCAUCAGCAGAUUUUAUGAAGAAACUACAGCCUACUGUGAGGAAUUAUGUAGAAAACAGACCGAAAUAUCCGGGUAUCAAAUUUGAAGAGCUCUUCCCAGACUGGAUAUUUCCAUCGGAAUCUGACCGUGACAAAUUAAAAACAAGUCAAGCUAGAGAUUUAUUAUCAAAAAUGCUGGUAGUAGACCCAGACAAACGAAUUUCUGUAGAUGAAGCCUUACGACAUCCAUAUAUCACGGUCUGGUAUGAUCCAGCUGAAGCGGAAGCACCUCCUCCUAAAAUCUAUGAUGCACAGCUGGAAGAAAGAGAACAUGCCAUUGAAGAAUGGAAAGAAUUAAUAUACAAAGAAGUAAUGGAUUGGGAAGAAAGAAGCAAGAAUGGUGUGGUAAAAGAUCAGCCCUCAGAUGCAGCAGUGAAUAGCAACACCAGUCCUUCCCAGUCAUCAUCGAUCAAUGACAUUUCAUCCAUGUCAACUGAGCAAACAUUGGCUUCAGAUACAGACAGCAGCCUUGAUGCCUUGACAGGACCCCUUGAAGGAUGCCGAUGAUCAGCCAGGAUUGCAGACUUCACAUUGGGAAAAAAACUCGUUUCCAUUGGCCUGAAUUGCUUGGUACUGCUUGCAACUAUCUGGCUGAAGCGUUGGGAGAGCCAGAUCCUUAGACCACCUGAUAUUUGAUGGCAGGAUAUUUUUCAGGUUGCUGGUUCAGCUGCAGAAAGACAUCUUGUUGCAUGAACCAGAACAGAAUAGAAGAAGAUAGAGCAGCCUGGCUGUGUUUGCAUGGGGCAUUUUACAAAGUAUACUGAAAUACGUUCCUUGUCUUACGUCUUGCCUUGUCUGUUCCCCUCAAGUUCUUUGGAGACAGCGGUUCAGGUAUAGAAGAGCGUGGAGAGAGGUGAAAACAAGAUAGGAAGGAUUCUUGAGGAAAGUGGGACUUCAGGAGGUAAUGAGGCAUUUGUUACACAAAUGAUCCAACCAAAGGAGCUGCAUGUUGGAAGGUGCAAAACUGAGGGUGGGAGGAGAGGAAGAGUGAAUUGGUUGGAGUAGAGCCCAGUUCAAAAAUUCAGCCAGUUGUGCUAUUCUAUAAAGCCUUGAAAUGAGUGUGAAAUUACUUAAUUUGCGAUGGUAAAAGACUAGAAACCAUGGAUAGUAUUUAAGAAGGAUAUUGGGUGAUGUGGUCGGAGAGACUAGAGAGUGUGUGGAGUGGACUGGAUAACAUACACCUUACUCACAAGUAAGGGUCUGUAAAACCUUGCUUCAGUGAUUUAACAGUUUUGAGCACUGAGUGAAACAGCCUGCUUCACUCGGUGUACAUAUCAAUGGAUCAUAUAGAAUGAGGCAGUGUUACAAUCCGAUGUUCUGCAUUGGCACCUCAUUCCUGAUCUCAAACUUGUUCUUUCCUUUUCAGAGAACUAAGGUUUAUUUACAGGACUGAGGCUUCAUGAACUGGCCCAGGUUCAAAGACCGCCCAGACGAUAGCUCAUGCUCCGUCUCCAAUGGAAAAUGUUCCACAACCUUUCUUUUAUUAAGAAUAUUUUUACUGGCACAGUCUCUCCCUUAUGCCUUUAUGAAGCGUGAUGACAACACAGACUUCCUUAUUCAGUGCAUAUAUUAUCAAAUCAUAUAACAUGAGGCAAUACUUCUAUGGAGUGCUGACUCAUUCCAUCUGCGCCUUCACAAAUCAUCCGGCAUGUGCACCUAUACAUUAAAAUAAAAUUUGAUCCAAUGUACAGAUACACAAAGUAAGGCUCCGGGAUUUGUUUGUUUUUUGCCCUUAUGACAUGGUCAAGUCAAACCUGAUUUUUUUUUUUUCCCCCACUGUACCACCAAAUAUACACACAUGGGGCUAAUGUCCCUGUCAGAUCUCAAGCUUCUACUGCCUCUAGCUGAAGUACAAGAGAAGCUUUUAACUAAGGCCUGGUCUACACUUUGGGGCUAAGUUGCCCUAAGUUACGCAAUUCCCGCUACGUCACUAGCUUAGGUCGACUUAUUGCGGUGUCUACACCAUGCUGGGUCAACGGGAGAAACUCUCCCAUUGACUUACCUUACGCUUCUCUUUCCGGUGGAAUACCAGAGUUGACGGGAGAAUGAUCUGCGGUCGAUUUAGCGGGUCUUCACUAGACCCGCUAAAUCGACCCCCAGUGGAUCAAUCACUGCAGCAUCGAUCCCCAGUAAGUGUAGAGAUAUACCCCUAAGUCACACUUCUCUUUUUCUUCCUCUUCACAUGGGAGAAGUGUACCUUUUCACUCCCAAACUGAUGCACUGUAUAUGCUCAGGCUUUCAGAAAUGUGUGCCCUUGGACUGAAGAACACACCGAAAAUUUCAGCUUGAGAAGUAAGUUUUUGAGAAAGUUAGAAACUAAGACACUAUAUAAUGGAAAUUCUUGUGGCCUUUAACUACAGACAUCACCAUACACUGGGCAUGUAACUGGGAAUGUAGGUCCCAAUUCAGCAAAGCAGGUAGGUACAUGCUGUAAAUUUAGCACAUGAAUAAUCCCAAUUCUAUUCAGCAAAACACUGAAGUGUGAUUUAAAAUUAAGUGCUUUGUUGAAUACAGACCAUAAUGAGCAAUUGGGGAUUUGGUCGUCUUAAAAUACUUAUUUGUCCAUCAAAAAUCUUUUUCCCAUUGAUUUGAUCUGAACAUGACAUAUAUCACUUGAGAACUCAUUAUCUGAAAAAUAUCAAAGUAGCCUUAGUUUCUUUCCAAAUAGGGUAGCUGGGGACCAACUAGAUUUUUUUUUUUUUUUUAAAUCAGGGAGGGUUUUUUUACAUAAUUCAUAUGGGUAAGUUUCCUUUAAAAAUAUUGUCAGUGGUAAGUGAUGUUCAAAAAGGGGAAUUUUCUUUCUGUAUACUCCUUAUUUUUUUGGCAAAAACCAGCUGGAAUUUUACUUUCUUUCAUUCUGAACAGAGAAAAACAAUUGUCAUACUGGUACUGAGGAGGAGGAGGAAAAAUGCAACUAGCCGUAGGCACUGAAAUGUGACUUGGAAAUAUGUCCCCCGGUUUUUAUAAAAAAAUGUCACUCAAUUUUGUAUUCUUCAUGCCUUUUAGUAUGAACUGGCAAACAGUGACCAUAAUUACAUAAUUUAUUGAUUGUAUCCAAUCAUAACACAGGCCAUCAGUUAUCCCAGUGUUCAGCAUAUAAAUUAUGUUGUUUAUUGUUCUGGUUUUGCUUCAGGAAAAUGCAAGUUUUUAAACUCUCCUGUGACAUGCAUUUGAAUUGACCUUGGUUGCUCAUUAAUUGGUGUUGAUUCUAGUGACUGGAGAAACUAUAUUGGUAAUUUAGAAGUACAACUGUAAUAAGGCUAUUUGGUUAGUUACUUUGUGGAUGGGGAAAUGGACAGACUGAAAUAUAAUCAUUUCUGCUUCGCACAGGUUCAAAUAAAGAUUUUUUUUCUUCCACUGAGUGCUGAGGUGACUUUUAUUAGUGUACUGUUCUCAUUGCAGUUUUUGGAUUGUCUUGAA
This is an RNA transcript of Terrapene triunguis (Three-toed box turtle), 4333 nucleotides long. It is a transcript of the gene named mitogen-activated protein kinase 9, with no coding region annotated. The transcript has 13 exons. Lineage: Eukaryota; Metazoa; Chordata; Testudines; Emydidae. The record is from RefSeq and is a predicted model, not a curated record.